RNAcentral lists this ribosomal RNA (445 nucleotides) under uncultured bacterium. RNAcentral's name for it is "partial 16S ribosomal RNA". It matches the Rfam family "Bacterial small subunit ribosomal RNA", at positions 354 to 796 of the family's 1533-position model. The record is from RNAcentral.
GUGAGGAAUAUUGGACAAUGGGCGCAAGCCUGAUCCAGCCAUGCCGCGUGCAGGAAGACGCAUCUAUGGUGUGUAAACUGCUUUUGUACGGGAAGAAACACUCCCUCGUGAGGGAGCUUGACGGUACCGUAAGAAUAAGGAUCGGCUAACUCCGUGCCAGCAGCCGCGGUAAUACGGAGGAUCCAAGCGUUAUCCGGAAUCAUUGGGUUUAAAGGGUCCGUAGGCGGUUUAAUAAGUCAGUGGUGAAAGCGCAUCGCUCAACGAUGGAACGGCCAUUGAUACUGGUAGACUUGAAUUACAAGGAAGUAACUAGAAUAUGUAGUGUAGCGGUGAAAUGCUUAGAUAUUACAUGGAAUACCAAUUGCGAAGGCAGGUUACUACUUGUGGAUUGACGCUGAUGGACGAAAGCGUGGGGAGCGAACAGGAUUAGAAACCCUGGUAGUCC